GUGAAUCAUCAAAUCUUUGAACGCAAAUUGCACUUUCUGGUAUUCCGGAUAGUAGGCCUGUUUGUGGGUCUGUUAUAUUAAAAUCUGUGUUGUUGCUGCUUUUCUUGGUGACGCUUCCGAAGUGGGUUUUCUUACCUUCGGUUAAGUGACUUAAAAUUUUGCAUGAUUUUCGAACGUAUUUAAAUUUCUUUCGUACGUUUGAGAUAUCUA
RNAcentral lists this unclassified non-coding RNA (210 nucleotides) under Glomus sp. RNAcentral describes it as "partial contains 5.8S ribosomal RNA and internal transcribed spacer 2". The stretch from base 1 to 71 matches the Rfam family "5.8S ribosomal RNA", at positions 84 to 154 of the family's 154-position model. The record is from RNAcentral. Lineage: Eukaryota; Fungi; Glomeromycota; Glomeromycetes; Glomerales; Glomeraceae.